Long non-coding RNA from Amphimedon queenslandica, 1996 nucleotides. RefSeq lists it as uncharacterized. The transcript has 7 exons. The record is from RefSeq and is a predicted model, not a curated record. NCBI's taxonomy places the organism in Eukaryota, Metazoa, Porifera, Demospongiae, Haplosclerida, Niphatidae.
UUUAGGUGAUGGAGUAGUAGACACUGAUGUUAAUCUGUCUUCGUCUAGUAUACUACCUCUAGUGUUCCCAUUGGUAGGGUUCUCAUUGACUCCUCCUCUCUGCGGCUGCUGUCCAAAAUAAUUUUCCAAAGGAUCUUGUGACAGACGUUCACUAAAAAAUGAAUUAACACUGGGAAUAGUGAACAGGAACUUUACCAAAUCAAUGAACCGUUCCUGGCAGUCUUAAUGAGGUGUGGAGGGUCUGAAAAAAAGAAGACUUCUGUGUUUUCAUUUAAUGGGUUCCUAAACUUAUAUGCUAAUGGUUUGGAACUUGAGCUUCCCACUAUUGUGAAGAAUUUUCUGUUGACAGAAGUUCCAUCCAUGGUAAUAGAUGUGACAUUUAAGCCACAGUGCUCAAGACGGAAAAGAGCUUCAAGAAAAUAGGAACUAGUUGUUUUCCAGUGAGGUUAAAAGCAGCAAAAGAAGCAUAAGGAAAGAUAAAACUUGUCACAAAAACCAACUAGCUCACCAUUGUGCUUAUUAUACACUAAGCCCUCUUUAACAUGCAUCUCAUCAGCAAUGAUACUGACAUAUUUCUGAAAUGGCUCUAAUGCUGAGAUGUUAUAAUCAUUCACUAGCUGUGUAUCUAAUUCUGUAGAGAAUCCAUUUGUGCUUUUAUAUGCAUACGUAUAAUCCCUAUGGGUACGCUGAGAGGGAAGAUGUAAGAUGCCAGUUUUUUGAAGCAAGUCAUGCUUUAGAGGAUUUGUGCCUCAAAAAGAUACACCACUUUACAAUUGCAGGAUUCCAGCGAAAUUGUGUACAGCACAUUGUCGAUGCUGCUUUAUAUUGAUUCUCCCAGAAUAUUCUGCGAAGCUACCUUCUGGAUGGUUAUUCAGAAUGUCUUGAUGGUGUUCAUGCAUUAUUGAUAAGAGGCUGCUGUGAAGAUUUUCAUUCAAAGUGAUUGAGCGGUGAUCUUUUUCAAUUUUUUCUUCUAAUUCCUUAAUAUAUUUUUCCUGUUCUUUUACUUUAGAUUUGAGUUGGUGGAUUUUUUUGAGCAUCAAUGGUUUAGUUAUAUGUCGAUGAUUUGUUUUGAAACCUAUUUGUCUGUUUGGAGUGGUCGUUUUGAUGCUAUUGCAAGUAACUUUCUUCGGUAUGAAACGCACUCUGAACAACGUGUCACUUUAUCAUGUAAUACUGGACAGUUAACAUGGCGUAUUGUUAGGAAGGGAAUAUUUUGAAGAAUUGCAACAACCUGACCUGAGUUAAUUGAAGCUAUUGGCUUUUCUGCCAUUUGCUAAUUGUAAAAGAGAUGAAUCAGAAUUGCCGCGGCAUACUUUCAGUGCUGCUAGAUAUGUGAGCAAGGUGAUUAGGUUAGGUUUGGAUAGACUGUGACUGUGAAUAAUAUCUGUGGAUGUGAAUUAUACUGCCGUAUAUAACACAACAUCAUAGUGUCAUGAGAAUUUUGAACUAUUGACCACCCAUCUGAGAAGCACUUCUUCCUGGACAUGAUAUGUGGAAUAGUGAUGAACAAAAUAUUAAUGAUGCAGUACUGAGCCUGCUGCACUAAGCUUUAUAUUCAGUUAUGAAUAUUGUUAUUUGAAAUCAAUAUAAUUGUCUUCUCACCUUUAUGUAAUCAAAUGUGUUGCAAUAAUAAGCUUAUGAGACAAGGAAAGAAAGUAGUUCGCAUGGAAAAGAAACUGGAAUCAUGUAAGCAGUAGCAGUACAGUGCGUACUUUUGUUGCUAGCUGUGGUUGCUAGUCACUAGUUCGUUGCUAUCAUGUUACUACGCGCAAAUUAGUGGUAUGCCGUAUUAUACUCUAAUUACUAGGAUAAUGGUAGAUAUAGGGUCUAUCAUGGGGGGCAAUAAUGUAAGCAGUAGGUUUUGUUGCAUAAAAAUUUUAUUUUGUAUAGUUAACCCCUAAAUAAUAUAGAAAGACAGGCUUCCUGUUUGCCCAAGCUGUCUGUUGUAGCAAUGUAUCUAUUUGCAGUUUAAAUUCAGUGUUUUAUGAAUUAGCAA